CAACGUUUGACAUCCCUAUCGCGGAUCGUGGAGACACUUUCCUUCAGUUCGGCUGGACAGGUGACGGGUGCUGCAUGGCUGUCGUCAGCUCGUGUCGUGAGAUGUUGGGUUAAGUCCCGCAACGAGCGCAACCCUCGCCUUUAGUUGCCAGCAUUUAGUUGGGUACUCUAAAGGAACCGCCGGUGAUAAGCCGGAGGAAGGUGGGGAUGACGUCAAGUCCUCAUGGCCCUUACGCGUUGGGCUACACACGUGCUACAAUGGCGACUACAGUGGGCAGCCACCUCGCGAGAGGGAGCUAAUCUCCAAAAGUCGUCUCAGUUCGGAUCGUUCUCUGCAACUCGAGAGCGUGAAGGCGGAAUCGCUAGUAAUCGCGGAUCAGCAUGCCGCGGUGAAUA
Molecule: ribosomal RNA, 395 nt
Filed under: uncultured bacterium
Lineage: Bacteria
Description: bacterial SSU rRNA
Rfam family: Bacterial small subunit ribosomal RNA
Source: RNAcentral